ACUGUAGCAGAGGGGAAUUAUUGUCCCAAUGCGAUCUACUAGUUGUCACGAGUACGUAGGAUUUUGCGGAUCUCAAUUCGGAUAUCGUUUGACUAUCGAACGAAUUUUCGCAUAUUGUGCGUUAUCCGAGUUCGAUAGGUUCUGACCGUUGGAUCAUUUCCCAAUCAAUAUAUGUUUUUCUAGGUAUUCCUAGGAUCGUAUAGGAAUUUGUGGAUUGUGAAUUGGAGCCCCGGAUGUUCCAAUUCAAUAACUUAAAGUUUGCGUUUUAUAAUAAUCGUCCGAUCGUGCGAUCGUAAGCGAUCUAACCGUCCGUUUCGGACCAAACUUGCGAGACGGGUAUCUUAGACCUUGUGAAACAUUCAGGAACUUUCGGAUUGUAAAACGGAGGUCGUGGGUCCCGUAGACCCGGUUGACAUGAAUUGGAAAGUUUGACCGCCGGUUGACCGAGUGUCUCCCAAAGUUGUUCUAUCGUCCAAAUUGGGUAGUUGGACCUUAGAACGUCUCAUUCCUAGUACACUUACUAGAAACCGAGGAAAUUAGGAUAUUUAAUUUAAAGUACUUGUUCGAAACGCUUCGUAUUAAUCUCGUAUACGUAUUCUGAAUUAG
This 606-nucleotide long non-coding RNA is filed under the name Prunus persica (peach). RNAcentral describes it as "long non-coding RNA (PPER_LNC004334)". The record is from RNAcentral. Lineage: Eukaryota; Viridiplantae; Streptophyta; Magnoliopsida; Rosales; Rosaceae.